This is a long non-coding RNA of Paramisgurnus dabryanus, 599 nucleotides long. RefSeq lists it as uncharacterized. Lineage: Eukaryota; Metazoa; Chordata; Actinopteri; Cypriniformes; Cobitidae. The record is from RefSeq and is a predicted model, not a curated record.
UCACAUGCAAAAUUACACAGGAAUGUGGCUGACUUUUUAUUUGUAGUUUACAUGAGUGUCCUUGCACUUUUAUAGGAGUUAAGGCAGAUGUGGAGGCACAACGGGUGAUACCAGACACACACCAAGCACAUUAUGUUUGGACAUUCAAUCAUGACAUGAUCCAUGUGGAUGCUGUCCAUUGAGGAAAGAGUUUGUUCAGCGGUUUCUGGAUAGAAUUAAUUCCAAAGAUGGGAAAAAGUGCACAUCCAGACAAGGAGCAAGCAAAAAGACAAGGAACUUGGUGCAGAGAAAAGCUGUGGCCAUUAACCCCCAUGUGAACAGCUUCAUGCAGUCCCUGAUUGAGUUCGAAUGGACGACUUCAAAGUAAAGGCCACUGUGGUCUGUCUGCCACAGUUUAAUUUUUAAUUUAUUUUUAGUGUUCAAUGAAAUUCAAGUAUAAUAUUUAAAACUAUGGGCCAGUGUUGUUUUUACCACAGUGAAAUGUUACCUUUUAGUCGAUGAUGGACUUUAAACUGAAAACUUCAAACUAUGGAACAGUGUUCUAUUUGCCAGAGUUAAAUAUGUUACAGCAGGGGUCUCCAAACUUGUUUAUACUUGUU